CUGACUUCUUAGAACAGGUGUCUAUAAAAUAUAGAGUAUUUUUCAUUUUAUGUCAUAAAGCUAUCAAUCAGUUGCAGUUUAAUGUUAUGCGUAUCAGUCAUUGCAAUCUAGCUCUAAAAUCCACUUCAUUUGAAUCACUGUAUUACUCCAUGCAACUGGAGUUUUGCCAUGACGUAAAAUGGAACCAAGGUUUGGCUAGCUGAUCAUACAGCUGUUUUAAAAUCCCAGUCUGCAUCAUACCUAUGAACUAGGUAACACAGAGACCAAUCUGCGUUUGAAUGUAAUCUGUCUUCAAAAAGACUGAAUAGCAAAUUUUAUACGUGUGAUUUUUUUAAAGGUCUGACGGAGUACUGCAGUAUUUAUGCCCACACCCCUCAGUGCGGAAGAAUGCAGAAUUUGUUUCAUCUGCAACCAACUAAUAGUUAAGCAGGUGCUGCAGGCCUCUCCAGAACUGCUUUCACGUAGUAUUGGAUACUGCCGUACUUCCCAGUAAAAGAGGUCACCAGAGGUCUGAAACAAGCCGUCAUGAAAGCAUUACCGGUGCUCUGAUGACUUCCCAAGAUCACACAGUGACAUCCUCACUCAUGCUGUGACGGCUGCAAUGAUGAGAAGCAGCAGGAGGAAAACUCAGAACCAACUCAGGAAAUGGCAUCCAAAAUCUCAGAGCUCUGAAGCUCCUGUGACCUCUAUUACUGUAAUACCCGAGAACGUCACCUUUGUUCGUGCACGGAUACAGUAUCUGAAGGAAGUUAGGUUGGUAUUAAUGGUAUUUUCUUCUGUUACAUGUGGGGAACUGAGGCACAGAGAAGUCACACGACUAGGCCAAAGGUGUUCUUCAAAAAGGGGUUCCAGUGCUGUAGGAACAUGACCAGUCUUUGGAUGGUAUUUAAAAUUCAGCCUUGUGAAUGUAGAAAUAAGCUUAAAGAAAGCACAAAACACCCAACAGCAAACCAGAUGACACGGCACAAACUGCAGCCUUUCACUCAAGCCAAUGAAGGGACUCAAGUGAGAAAGGAUUUCAGGUUUCAGCCCUUCUGAACUGAAAAAGACCGUGUCUAAACUGACAUCAGCACAAACCUGAGAAGGCACAGAAAAUCCUAAUGGCAAGGACGUGAACUGCUGAAAAACAGCCUCACUUUUCUCAAAAAAAAGAUGGACCCACAAAGUAGAUGUUGCCACAGCAGAAAGAACAUGUGUCAUGGGAACAGCAGAGGCAAAAUGUGUUGUGGGAAAAUCUUGAUGGAUUCAGCCCAGGAUGAGAAUAUGCAAAUUUAUGCAAAAUUGAAUGCAAUUGAACAAGAUAACAUAUAUCCCAGCAAUGAAGAAAAUUUACAGCAUACUCGGAAAAAAAGAUGGAGUUUAAAUCCAGUGGGGGUCUGAGGAAGUUUAAGCCAUCCCCAGUGACUACAUUUUGGCAGGAAUAUGAAGGUUUCUCCAAAAAUGAGUCAGGAAAGUGCUGCAGAAGUGAAACAAGGAGUAACAGAAGUGCAAGGGUCAGUUACAGAACUAAAUGGAAGACAUGUAACCCAGCCCUCCUACAUAACAACAGAGUAGGUACUAAGUAAUGAUAGUUUGUCUGCUACUAAAAAGUCACCCUGUAGUUCACUUCUGGGAUACUGUAUGUUUUUUCUCUUCUCGGCCUGCUCUACUGGCAGAGUGAUUUUGAAGAGUUGCUGGUUUCCAGCUCCAAAGUAGCUAAUUUCAGUUCCAGGGGAAACAAAACUCUAAACUAGCUUUAUUUGUAAAAUCCUUUAAGAAGUGGGAAUGUCCUCUGGUUGUAAGAAAAGGGAGUGCAAUUCAGAGCCUGGUACAAAUUUAAUUAAACAUAAUCUUCCUUGUGGAAUGAGUUACUGAGCUCUUUCAGGCUAAACAUCCUUGAUUUUUAUUGUGCUGUCCUCCAAUAACACAAACCCUUUUGCAGGGCCAUGCUAGCCCAUCACCUGCCUUCACCGUGGUGGCACAAGUUGCCCUGCCACCGACAAGGAACAUUCUGGGAGCUAAUAACUUUCUACUUUUACAUGGCAAAUCCAUCUCUCUGGGUUGUCAGAUCACUCCGACACGGCUCUCCCGCAUCAGGAAACUACCAAUGCUGUCCCCAUGCUGCUGGGGUGAGGAACACACGGAGCCGCACCGGCUGCACAACAGCACCGACUGCCCUGCACCGCCCGUAGAAACAAACAGACAUUUCCAGCUACUUAAAAAAACUGCAGGGGGGUGGGUGGGGGG
Long non-coding RNA from Falco peregrinus (peregrine falcon), 2226 nucleotides. RefSeq lists it as uncharacterized. The record is from RefSeq and is a predicted model, not a curated record. NCBI's taxonomy places the organism in Eukaryota, Metazoa, Chordata, Aves, Falconiformes, Falconidae. The transcript is spliced from 4 exons.